Ruditapes philippinarum (Manila clam) is the source of this 330-nucleotide long non-coding RNA. RefSeq lists it as uncharacterized. The record is from RefSeq and is a predicted model, not a curated record. NCBI's taxonomy places the organism in Eukaryota, Metazoa, Mollusca, Bivalvia, Venerida, Veneridae. The transcript is spliced from 2 exons.
AUGGAGGAAUGAUGAAGCGGAAGUGGAUAAGACUAUCAGUUCUUCGAGAGUCCCAGUGCCUAUAUACUCGCAAGAAGGAUAUGGUAUGGAAUAGCUUAGUACAUCUAUGUGCUGGCAGAUUUGUACAACAAUAAGUUGUUCCAGUGUGAAGAAAGAUGCGUGUCAUAAGACCAUGGAGGAGUGAUGAAGCGGAAGUGGAUAAGACUAUCAGUUCUUCGAGAGUCCCAGUGCCUAUAUACUCGCAAGAAGGAUAUGGUAUGGAAUAGCUUAGUACAUCUAUGUGCUGGCAGAUUUGUACAACAAUAAGUUGUUCCAGUGUGAAGAAAGAUG